UACGUAGGUGACAAGCGUUGUCCGGAUUUACUGGGCGUAAAGAGCGCGCAGGCGGUCGUUCAAGUCGAGUGUGAAAGCCCCCGGCUCAACUGGGGAGGGUCAUUCGAUACUGUUCGACUCGAAGGCAGGAGAGGGAAGUGGAAUUCCGGGUGUAGUGGUGAAAUGCGUAGAUAUCCGGAGGAACACCAGUGGCGAAGGCGACUUUCUGGCCUGUUCUUGACGCUGAGGCGCGAAAGCUAGGGGAGCAAACGGG
Molecule: ribosomal RNA, 253 nt
Filed under: uncultured bacterium
Lineage: Bacteria
Description: partial 16S ribosomal RNA
Rfam family: Bacterial small subunit ribosomal RNA
Source: RNAcentral